This 467-nucleotide ribosomal RNA is filed under the name uncultured bacterium. RNAcentral's name for it is "partial 16S ribosomal RNA". It matches the Rfam family "Bacterial small subunit ribosomal RNA", at positions 29 to 507 of the family's 1533-position model. The record is from RNAcentral.
ACGAACGCUGGCGGCGUGCUUAACACAUGCAAGUCGAACGGAAAGGCCCUGCUUUUGUGGGGUGCUCGAGUGGCGAACGGGUGAGUAACACGUGAGUAACCUGCCCUUGACUUUGGGAUAACUUCAGGAAACUGGGGCUAAUACCGGAUAGGAGCUCCUGCUGCAUGGUGGGGGUUGGAAAGUUUCGGCGGUUGGGGUUGGACUCGCGGCUUAUCAGCUUGUUGGUGGGGUAGCGGCUUACCAAGGCUUUGACGGGUAGCCGGCCUGAGAGGGUGACCGGCCACAUUGGGACUGAGAUACGGCCCAGACUCCUACGGGAGGCAGCAGUGGGGAAUAUUGCACAAUGGGCGGAAGCCUGAUGCAGCAACGCCGCGUGCGGGAUGACGGCCUUCGGGUUGUAAACCGCUUUCGCCUGUGACGAAGCGUGAGUGACGGUAAUGGGUAAAGAAGCACCGGCUAACUACGUG